RNAcentral lists this unclassified non-coding RNA (352 nucleotides) under soil metagenome. RNAcentral's name for it is "partial contains 5.8S ribosomal RNA, internal transcribed spacer 2, and large subunit ribosomal RNA". The stretch from base 1 to 119 matches the Rfam family "5.8S ribosomal RNA", at positions 35 to 154 of the family's 154-position model. The record is from RNAcentral.
GAUGAAGAACGCAGCGAAAUGCGAUAAGUAAUGCGAAUUGCAGAAUCCGUGAGUCAUCGAAUCUUUGAACGCACAUUGCGCCCGCGAGUAUUCUCGCGGGCAUGCCUGUCCGAGCGUCAUUUCAACCCUCAGGGCCCGCCUGCUUCGGCAGGCGCGGCGCUGGUGUUGGGGAUCGGCCUAACCGCCGUCCCCCAAAUACAGUGGCGGUCUCGCUGCAGCCUCCCCUGCGUAGUAGCAACACUCGCAUGCGGAGCGCGGCGCGGCCACGCCGUAAAACCCCCGACUUUCUGAACGUUGACCUCGGAUCAGGUAGGAAUACCCGCUGAACUUAAGCAUAUCAAUAAGCGGAGGA